This is a long non-coding RNA of Cyprinus carpio carpio, 1189 nucleotides long. Lineage: Eukaryota; Metazoa; Chordata; Actinopteri; Cypriniformes; Cyprinidae. The record is from Ensembl.
AUGGAUUAUAGACUCUAUGUAUUUGAGUUAAAAACGUCUUAAUGCUGGAUUUGUUUCAUCUUUUGUCUUCUCCAGAUGUUAACUGAUGGACUGGAGUGCUGUGGAUUACUUGUGGAUUAUUGUGAUGUUUUUAUCAGCUGUUUGGACUCUCAUUCUGACGGCACCCAUUCACUGCAGAGCAUCCAGAAACUACAAUGACUGAACCAGUGUCACUGUGUGAUUCACGCUUCUAAAGAAGUGUUUUUACCACAGCACAAACACAUUCGCCACGUCUGCAGAUCCAGGAACACCGGUUGCACGUAACCUUGUUGUUCUCAGUAUGAAAACAGCAUGUUUUAUUCUCACCAACAGGCCCAACCCUUGCAAGAAGGUUUAUUUCCCAGAAACACCUUCCACGAAUCAUUCACAAACACCACGGGCCACAACGACACAGACAACCAAAUUUGGAAAUGUGCUGACAGUAUGAAGAUGAAUUGGCCUUUAAUAACAAAUCAGCGCUUUGUUUUGUAUCGUAGGCGAAUCUUGCUUUGUCACCGGUCCACCGAAACUAACCCGCCUCUUCUCGAAUCUUUCCGCCUGCAGCAUGAAGUGAUCAGGCAGGUAAAGAGGAAGAGCCAAACCCAUAUAUGUUUUAUGUGCUCAGCCUGAGGGAGCGAAAUCUGCCUUGCAUUUACAGCGGAUUCAUCCUCCUGAGUCCAUCAUCAUCACCAUCUGUCAGCGGUGAGACAGCAGUCUUUAAACGAAGUAACGCUGAAGAAAAUGAAGAAAAUGACAUUAGAGGACGGCCAACGCUCAGAUCUCCAGCGCAGAGCAUGAGGUGUCUUGUUUGGAGAUGAAUGGGAAUAAACAGCAUCCUGUCUGGAUCCAGGCAGGCCUGCCAAUGUUUGUCACUUGGUAUGGUAUUUAAAGAUCUGGGGGUUUUCUGCCUCCAGGAGACGUUUCGUGAUCUAGCUUGCUCCGAGAACCGAAAGAAGGGAGUUUUGUGGGCUCGUGUCACUGAAUUGGGCAAUUUCAUUACUGAAGUGUUUGACAUGGCUUCUCAGAGGUAAAGAUGUAAAAUAUACAGGAACCCUCUCAUUGUCACCAUCUCUCUGGGAGGAACAAGGAUAAUACUUCAACAUUCAUUUUAAUUAAUUAAUUAAUUAAACAAGCAAAGGGGUAAUCACUGGAACCUCAAGGCUGACAUAUA